Molecule: ribosomal RNA, 403 nt
Filed under: uncultured bacterium
Lineage: Bacteria
Description: partial 16S ribosomal RNA
Rfam family: Bacterial small subunit ribosomal RNA
Source: RNAcentral
GACGAACGCUGGCGGCGUGCCUAAUACAUGCAAGUCGAACGCAGUGGGGACGGGUGAGUAACACGUGGUUAACCUCCCAUCAGAGGGGAUAACACUUGGAAACAGGUGCUAAACCGAUACUGAUGGAUGAACCCGCAGUGCAUUAGCUAGUGGGUGAGGUAACGGCUCACCAAGGCCACGAUGCAUAGCGGGCCUGAGAGGAUGAUCGGCCACACGGGGACUGAGACACGGACCAGACUCCUACGGGAGGCAGCAGUAGGGAAGCUGCGGCAAUGGACGAAAGUCUGACCGAGCAAUGCCGCGGGAGUGAAGAAGGUUUUCGGGUCGUAAAACACUGUUGUUAGAGAAGCGGUAUCUAACCAGAAAGCCACGGCUAACUACGUGCCAGCAGCCGCGGUAAUAC